Molecule: ribosomal RNA, 999 nt
Filed under: uncultured bacterium
Lineage: Bacteria
Description: bacterial SSU rRNA
Rfam family: Bacterial small subunit ribosomal RNA
Source: RNAcentral
GGGAGGCAGCAGUGGGGAAUCUUGCGCAAUGGGCGAAAGCCUGACGCAGCAACGCCGCGUGCGGGAUGAAGGCCUUUCGGGUUGUAAACCGCUUUCAGUAGGGAAGAAGCGAAAGUGACGGUACCUACAGAAGAAGCACCGGCUAACUAUGUGCCAGCAGCCGCGGUAAUACAUAGGGUGCAAGCGUUGUCCGGAAUUAUUGGGCGUAAAGAGCUCGUAGGUGGUUCGUUACGUCGGAUGUGAAAAUCUGGGGCUCAACCCCAGACCUGCAUCCGAUACGGUCGAGCUAGAGUUUGGUAGGGGAGACUGGAAUUCCUGGUGUAGCGGUGGAAUGCGCAGAUAUCAGGAGGAACACCAAUGGCGAAGGCAGGUCUCUGGGCCAAUACUGACACUGAGGAGCGAAAGCGUGGGGAGCGAACAGGAUUAGAUACCCUGGUAGUCCACGCCGUAAACGGUGGGCGCUAGUUGUGGGAACCUUCCACGGUUUCUGCGACGCAGCUAACGCAUUAAGCGCCCCGCCUGGGGAGUACGAUCGCAAGAUUAAAACUCAAAGGAAUUGACGGGGCCCCGCACAAGCAGCGGAGCAUGCGGCUUAAUUCGACGCAACGCGAAGAACCUUACCAAGGCUUGACAUAUACAGGAAUAUGGCAGAGAUGUCAUAGCGGUAAAACGUCUGUAUACAGGUGGUGCAUGGUUGUCGUCAGCUCGUGUCGUGAGAUGUUGGGUUAAGUCCCGCAACGAGCGCAACCCUCGUUCUGUGUUGCCAGCAUUUAGUUGGGGACUCACAGGAGACUGCCGGGGUUAACUCGGAGGAAGGUGGGGAUGACGUCAAAUCAUCAUGCCCCUUAUGUCUUGGGCUGCACGCAUGCUACAAUGGCUGGUACAAACGGCUGCAAUACCGCAAGGUGGAGCGAAUCCGAUAAAGCCAGUCUCAGUUCGGAUUGGGGUCUGCAACUCGACCCCAUGAAGUCGGAGUUGCUAGUAAUCGUAGAUCAGCAA